This 497-nucleotide ribosomal RNA is filed under the name uncultured bacterium. RNAcentral's name for it is "partial 16S ribosomal RNA". It matches the Rfam family "Bacterial small subunit ribosomal RNA", at positions 28 to 507 of the family's 1533-position model. The record is from RNAcentral.
GAUGAACGCUGGCGGCGUGCCUAAUACAUGCAAGUCGAGCGAACAGACGAGGAGCUUGCCCCUCUGACGUUAGCGGCGGACGGGUGAGUAACACGUGGAUAACCUACCUAUAAGACUGGGAUAACUUCGGGAAACCGGAGCUAAUACCGGAUAAUAUAUUGAACCGCAUGGUUCAAUAGUGAAAGACGGUUUUGCUGUCACUUAUAGCUGGAUCCGCGCCGCAUUAGCUAGUUGGUAAGGUAACGGCUUACCAAGGCAACCAUGCGUAGCCGAACUGAGAGAGUGAUCGGCCACACUAGAACUGAGACACGGUCCAGGCUCCUACGGGAGGCAGCAGUAGGGAAUGUUCCGCAAUGGGCGAAAGCCUGACGGAGCAAGGGCGCGUGAGUGAUGAAGGUCUUCGGAUCGUAAAACUCUGUUAUUAGGGAAGAACAAAUGUGUAAGUAACUAUGCACGUCUUGACGGUACCUAAUCAGAAAGCCACGGCUAACUACGUG